GUGGGGAAUAUUGGACAAUGGGCGCAAGCCUGAUCCAGCCAUGCCGCGUGUGUGAAGAAGGCCUUUUGGUUGUAAAGCACUUUAAGCGAGGAGGAGGCUCCUUUAGUUAAUACCUAAAGAGAGUGGACGUUACUCGCAGAAUAAGCACCGGCUAACUCUGUGCCAGCAGCCGCGGUAAUACAGAGGGUGCGAGCGUUAAUCGGAUUUACUGGGCGUAAAGCGUGCGUAGGCGGCUUUUUAAGUCGGAUGUGAAAUCCCUGAGCUUAACUUAGGAAUUGCAUUCGAUACUGGAAAGCUAGAGUAUGGGAGAGGAUGGUAGAAUUCCAGGUGUAGCGGUGAAAUGCGUAGAGAUCUGGAGGAAUACCGAUGGCGAAGGCAGCCAUCUGGCCUAAUACUGACGCUGAGGUACGAAAGCAUGGGGAGCAAACAGGAUUAGAAACCCGAGUAGUCC
Molecule: ribosomal RNA, 451 nt
Filed under: uncultured bacterium
Lineage: Bacteria
Description: partial 16S ribosomal RNA
Rfam family: Bacterial small subunit ribosomal RNA
Source: RNAcentral